UCUCGCCUGCCAGUGAUAUCUAUUUAACGGCCGCGGUACCCUAACCGUGCAAAGGUAGCGUAAUCACUUGCCCCCUAAAUAGGGGCCUGUAUGAAUGGCUAACUGAGGAUACACCUGUCUCUUAGGACAAAAUAGUGAACCUGAUCUUCUAGUACAAAAGCUAGAAUAACCACAUAAGACGAGAAGACCCUGUGGAGCUUCAACCGCUGCCGUUAACAAUCCAAUAAAUCACCAGGACUGAUUUAACGACAACUUUUAGUUGGGGCAACUAUGGAACACAACAAAACUUCCACGUACCGACUAACCAUCCCCCAGGCCAACCAGCCAAAAUCGCCAAGACCCAGUAUAACUGACCACCGAACCAAGUUACCCCAGGGAUAACAGCGCCAUCCUCUUUCAGAGCCCCUAUCGCCAAGAGGGCUUACGACCUCGAUGUUGGAUCAGGACACCCCAGUGGCGCAGCCGCUACUAAAGGUCCGUUUGUUCAACGGUUAAUGUCCUACGUGAUCU
Molecule: ribosomal RNA, 510 nt
Filed under: Tropiocolotes cf. steudneri
Lineage: Eukaryota; Metazoa; Chordata; Lepidosauria; Squamata; Gekkonidae
Description: partial 16S ribosomal RNA
Rfam family: Bacterial large subunit ribosomal RNA
Source: RNAcentral